RNAcentral lists this transfer RNA (72 nucleotides) under Camelus bactrianus (Bactrian camel). It matches the Rfam family "tRNA". From Rfam's summary of the family: Transfer RNA (tRNA) molecules are approximately 80 nucleotides in length. Their secondary structure includes four short double-helical elements and three loops (D, anti-codon, and T loops). Lineage: Eukaryota; Metazoa; Chordata; Mammalia; Artiodactyla; Camelidae. RNAcentral also lists the same sequence under 2 other names. The record is from Rfam by way of RNAcentral.
GAGGGUAUAGCUCAGAGGUAGAGCACAUGUUUAGCAUGCGUGAGGUCCUGGGUUCAAUCUCCAGUACUUCCU